RNAcentral lists this ribosomal RNA (445 nucleotides) under uncultured bacterium. RNAcentral describes it as "partial 16S ribosomal RNA". It matches the Rfam family "Bacterial small subunit ribosomal RNA", at positions 354 to 796 of the family's 1533-position model. The record is from RNAcentral.
GUGAGGAAUAUUGGACAAUGGGCGCAAGCCUGAUCCAGCCAUGCCGCGUGCAGGAAGACGCAUCUAUGGUGUGUAAACUGCUUUUGUACGGGAAGAAACACUCCCUCGUGAGGGAGCUUGACGGUACCGUAAGAAUAAGGAUCGGCUAACUCCGUGCCAGCAGCCGCGGUAAUACGGAGGAUCCGAGCGUUAUCCGGAUUUAUUGGGUUUAAAGGGUCCGUAGGCGGUUUAAUAAGUCAGUGGUGAAAGCCCAUCGCUCAACGAUGGAACGGCCAUUGAUACUGUUAGACUUGAAUUACAAGGAAGUAACUAGAAUAUGUAGUGUAGCGGUGAAAUGCUUAGAUAUUACAUGGAAUACCAAUUGCGAAGGCAGGUUACUACUUGUGGAUUGACGCUGAUGGACGAAAGCGUGGGGAGCGAACAGGAUUAGAAACCCUGGUAGUCC